GAGUUUGAUCAUGGCUCAGGAUGAACGCUAGCGGCAGGCUUAAYACAUGCAAGUCGAGGGGUAACAGGGAGAGCUUGCUCUCCGCUGACGACCGGCGCACGGGUGCGUAACGCGUAUGCAACCUACCUCUAACUGGGGAAUAGCCCCGAGAAAUCGGGAUUAAUACCUCAUAAAAUUUAUCAUUCGCAUGUUUGAUAAAUUAAAGUUUCGACGGUUAGAGAUGGGCAUGCGUGACAUUAGCUAGUUGGUGAGGUAACGGCUCACCAAGGCAGCGAUGUCUAGGGGUUCUGAGAGGAUUUUCCCCCACACUGGUACUGAGACACGGACCAGACUCCUACGGGAGGCAGCAGUAAGGAAUAUUGGUCAAUGGACGAAAGUCUGAACCAGCCAUGCCGCGUGCAGGAUGACGGCCCUAUGGGUUGCAAACUGCUUUUGUAUAGGAAGAAACCUCACUACGUGUAGUGGGCUGACGGUACUAUACGAAUAAGCACCGGCUAACUCCGUGCCAGCAGCCGCGGUAAUACGGAGGGUGCAAGCGUUAUCCGGAUUUAUUGGGUUUAAAGGGUGCGCAGGCGGAAUGAUAAGU
RNAcentral lists this ribosomal RNA (586 nucleotides) under uncultured Bacteroidota bacterium. RNAcentral's name for it is "bacterial SSU rRNA". It matches the Rfam family "Bacterial small subunit ribosomal RNA", at positions 9 to 588 of the family's 1533-position model. Lineage: Bacteria; Pseudomonadati; Bacteroidota. The record is from RNAcentral.